This 164-nucleotide ribosomal RNA is filed under the name Medicago truncatula (barrel medic). Its description in RNAcentral is "5.8S ribosomal RNA". It matches the Rfam family "5.8S ribosomal RNA". From Rfam's summary of the family: 5.8S ribosomal RNA (5.8S rRNA) is a component of the large subunit of the eukaryotic ribosome. The record is from RNAcentral. Lineage: Eukaryota; Viridiplantae; Streptophyta; Magnoliopsida; Fabales; Fabaceae.
AGAAUGACUCUCGGCAACGGAUAUCUAGGCUCUUGCAUCGAUGAAGAACGUAGCGAAAUGCGAUACUUGGUGUGAAUUGCAGAAUCCCGUGAACCAUCGAGUCUUUGAACGCAAGUUGCGCCCGAUGCCAUUAGGUUGAGGGCACGUCUGCCUGGAUGUCACAU